Molecule: small nuclear RNA, 104 nt
Filed under: Saimiri boliviensis boliviensis (Bolivian squirrel monkey)
Lineage: Eukaryota; Metazoa; Chordata; Mammalia; Primates; Cebidae
Source: RNAcentral
UUGGGUCAGUUUUUAACAGCACUGAAACUGGAAUGUAACAAAGAAGAUUAGCAUGGCCUCUGCACAAAGAGGACACACAAAUUCAGAAAGCAUUCCAUACCUCU